RNAcentral lists this ribosomal RNA (266 nucleotides) under uncultured prokaryote. Its description in RNAcentral is "partial 16S ribosomal RNA". It matches the Rfam family "Bacterial small subunit ribosomal RNA", at positions 524 to 789 of the family's 1533-position model. The record is from RNAcentral.
UACGUAGGUGGCGAGCGUUGUCCGGAAUUACUGGGCGUAAAGGGCGCGUAGGCGGAUAUUUAAGUCAGAUGUGAAAACUCCGGGCUCAACUUGGAGAUUGCAUUUGAAACUGGGUAUCUUGAGGACAGGAGAGGAAAGCGGAAUUCCUAGUGUAGCGGUGAAAUGCGUAGAUAUUAGGAGGAACACCAGUGGCUAAGGCGGCUUUCUGGACUGUAACUGACGCUGAGGCGCGAAAGCGUGGGGAGCAAACAGGAUUAGAUACUCGU